AGCUCGAGUUUUCCUUCAUCUACGCAUAAAUCUUUCGCCUUUUACUAAAAGAUUUCCGUGGAGGGAAACCUUUGCGAGUUUGUCGUAUUUUUUGGGUGCUUUGCUUACAGCAGAGCA
Molecule: small nuclear RNA, 117 nt
Organism: Triplophysa dalaica
Lineage: Eukaryota; Metazoa; Chordata; Actinopteri; Cypriniformes; Nemacheilidae
Product: U5 spliceosomal RNA
Exons: 1
Source: RefSeq, a predicted model, not a curated record